UCUCACCUGCUACCUUCUCCUUCUCCUUCUCCUUCGAUCUCCUCUGACUUGAUCGUCGGAGGGCCCCCACUACCCCGGUGGUGGUGCGAGGCUUGCUUGCAGGUUUCACGGCGGAGGGCGGAGCGCAACCAAGGCAAUUCCAAGGGAACCCCGUUCGCACCGCUGUGCCAAUCGUUCUCGGUUUGGACCCCCAGCAACAGUUGGCGCUAGAGGAAGGGCCGGAUCUCAGAGCGAUCGUAAUGGCAUGGCGAGGUGGUCGUGGAGCUUCCAAUGCUUCCGGUCGCGGGGCCUCUCGCGCCACUGGCCGGGAGGCCGCUGCAUCUCCAACACGCUCUCAGCAACACUCCACCGCCCCACCGCCCAUUCAGAUGGUCGAAGCCGCCCAGUUCGACCAGCUAACCCAGCAGGUUCGCACCCUCGCGGAUGCGGUGCAGAAUCUGCAGGGUGC
RNAcentral lists this long non-coding RNA (448 nucleotides) under Phoenix dactylifera (date palm). RNAcentral's name for it is "long non-coding RNA (PDAC_LNC007995)". The record is from RNAcentral. Lineage: Eukaryota; Viridiplantae; Streptophyta; Magnoliopsida; Arecales; Arecaceae.